This 440-nucleotide ribosomal RNA is filed under the name uncultured bacterium. RNAcentral's name for it is "partial 16S ribosomal RNA". It matches the Rfam family "Bacterial small subunit ribosomal RNA", at positions 338 to 795 of the family's 1533-position model. The record is from RNAcentral.
CCUACGGGCGGCAGCAGUGAGGGAUAUUGGUCAAUGGGGGAAACCCUGAACCAGCAACGCCGCGUGAGGGAAGACGGUUUUCGGAUUGUAAACCUCUGUCCUCUGUGAAGAUAAUGACGGUAGCAGAGGAGGAAGCUCCGGCUAACUACGUGCCAGCAGCCGCGGUAAUACGUCGGGAGCGAGCGUUGUCCGGAUUUACUGGUCGUAAAGGGUGCGUAGGCGGGACUGCAAGUCAGAAGUGAAAUCCUUGGGCUUAACCCGUGAACUGAGUUGGAAACUGCAGGACUUGAGUGGAGUAGAGGUAGGCGGAAUUCCCGGGGUAGCGGUGAAAUGCGUAGAGAUCGGGAGGAACACCAGUGGCGAAGGCGGCCUACUGGGCUUUAACUGACGCUGAAGCACGAAAGCGUGGGUAGCAAACAGGAUUAGAUACCCUGGUAGUC